RNAcentral lists this long non-coding RNA (1949 nucleotides) under Equus asinus (donkey). Its description in RNAcentral is "lncRNA (ENSEASG00005026580.1)". The record is from RNAcentral. Lineage: Eukaryota; Metazoa; Chordata; Mammalia; Perissodactyla; Equidae.
GGACAAGGGGGCCCCUGGUGUCCUUUGAGAUGGGACAAAGCGAAGGGGAAAGAGGGCGACAGGGAGGUGACUGAUGUGCCCCAGGCCGCUGAGCCAGCAGGAGCAGAUGGGGGACGGGAUCCAGGUGCUCUGGCUCCUCUGCUCCGCCCCACAUGGGUCUGGAUAAGAUUGAAGGAGAUCUUCCACAAGACGCCCAGAGACACGCCCAGCAGCGUUGCUGAGGUCACAGCCACAGGAUCGUGCCGUCGCCGCACCGAGAGGCACCGGGAGAGCGACGGAUGCUUCUCGGGGGACCCAAAUGCCUCCUGCCCGGAGCACAGGGCACCGCCCUGUCGUCCGCCACCGUGGAGAGCCUGGUGCAGGGCGAGGGUGCGGGAAUGCCUGCAGGACGCAUAGCAGAGUGGAAGACGGAAGGAGCCAGAGCCUGGAGCACUGGGUCAUCGUCCCCGCCGUCCAGCCUGACACCUGGGAACGCGCUUUCUGCCCGAGUUGCUGACUUGUGCCAAUUUAUAUGCUAAUUCCAGAAAUGAUUCUUCCCACAUUAAAUAAAAGCUGAGGAAUGUUCCAAAGGUCUGAACAGAUUGUACCAUUAACAGACAGGGGAAGCUGAGCCGUGCUGCCCACAGGAGUCCCGGGCGUGUGAACCGGCCCCCAGCACACGCACUCCCCCCAUUACAGGCCCACGUGCUCCUUCAGCUGACUCGGCCAAACGAAACUGCUUCGGCAUCUAAAGCCUCCGAGGGCCCAUCUCGACCUUGAGGUCCCUUCCAGAGUCACCUUUUGGGAAAGUAAAGAGUGCCAAACAGAAUUGGAGGGGUCCGUGGUGAGCCCGUGCCCCCAAAGUGAUCAACUGCCCCCAAGGACGUCAGUGUCAUCGGAUCACUGCCCUGAUCCGAGGCCUAGGCCCCUGGCCUCCUGGACAGCCUCCUCACACCCUCCUCCAACCCCCGACACACACACACACACACACACACUGAGUUUCUUUUCUCCCCAACUCACCAAGACCUUCCUGCCUCAGAGGCUUUGUACCUUCUGUUCCGCCUGCCAGGAUAGCUCUUCUCCACUCUCUUGACCAGGUUACCCCAACUCCUCGCAGCUCAGAGAAGCCCUCCCGACCUGCACAGGAGGUGAGGCCCCGGUCACACACCCUGUAGGAUGCUGCGUCUUCCUUCCUGGUGCUCCUCACAGCUCUCGUGGGAUUAUUACUUGUGUGAUAUUAUUCUGCAUCUGCAGCUAUCAUUCACUGGUGAGAGCAGGGACCAGGUUUACCCUGUAUCCCCAGGGUCUAGAAGGAUGCUUGCCAGAGGAUGUAGAGAAAGAGAGGGAGGGAGGGAGGAAAAGAGGGAGGAAUGGAUGGAUAGAUGGAAGGAUGGGUGGGUGGGUGAAUAGGUGAUGGAAGGAAGGAAGGAAGGAUAGAUGGUUGGAUGGAUGGAUGAUUGGAUGUUUGAAUGGAUGGAUAUUUGGGUGGAUGAAUGGGUGGAUGGAUGGAUGAUGGGUGGAUGGAUGCUGGGUGGAUGACCAGAUAGAUGGAGAGGGAGAGGAAAGAAGGGAGUGAGAGAGGGAGGAUGGGAGUUUGGAUGGAUGGAUGGAUGGAUGGAUGAUGGCUGGAUGGAUGAUGGAUGGAUGGGUAUGGAUGGAUGGAUGGAUGGAUGGAUGGAUGGAUGGAUGAUGGAUGGAUGGAUGGAUGGAUGAUGGAUAGAUGGAUGGAUGGAUGAUGGAUGGAUGGAUGGAUGAUUGAUGGCUGGAUGGGUAGAUGGAUGGUUGGAUGGAUGGAUGAUGGAUGGAUGAUGGAUGGAUGGAUGGAUGGAUGAUGGCUGGAUGGGUAGAUGGAUGGUUGGAUGGUUGGAUGGAUGGAGGAUGGAUGGAUGGAUGGAUGGAUGGAUGGAUGAUGGACGGAUGGAUGGAUGAUGGCUGGAUGGAUGAUGGCUAGAUGGGAUGAUGGAUGGAUG